AUUAUAGCUUAGGACAUGAUAUAUGAUAUAGCCAUCUCUUGGACUUCUCUAAAAGCGUAUGAAUUUGUUUAAAUUGCGGCGUCGGAGAAAAAGGGGAAGAGGAUGGCGCCGUUGAAAUCCCUAGAGCCGGAUUACCCGAUUAUCGAUUCCAAUUUCCAGCAAUUCUGCGCUUCUCACCACAUCUUCUCAGUGGAAGAUUUUCUGCUUCAUGACAUUUACGCGCUAGAGCUUUCCACGAAACAACACUUCGAUUCAAAGAGAUUAGAGGAGGGAAUUAGUGUGGUUCGCACUAUCAUGGAGGGUCUGCAUCAACCGUGGUUAAACGGGAUGGAGCUGUUGCAAAAGGCUCAAGGAAAUAAACACGGUAUAUCUACAGGUUAUGAAAGAAUUGAUGUGCUGCUUGAAGGAGGACUAUUCCAGGGAAACCUAGUAGAGCUAGUGGGUCCAUCAUCAUCUGGUAAAACGCAACUUUGCUUGAAAGUUGCUGCAAAUGUAGCAGUAAAUAAUUUGGGUAGUGUCACAUUCUUUGACACGGGAAACUCAUUCUCGCCUAAACGCAUUGAUAAACUUCUGGAUCAGAGCUCAGAGCCAGCUAAAAUAAAGACUGAAGAAGUUCGUCGACGAGUGAUGGACAAAAUAGUCUGUCAGUCCGUGUUCGACAUCUAUGUUUUAUUUGAUCUGCUUCAUCAGCUAAAAUCCACCUUGAAACCUGUGACAGGCUCCUCAGUUCAGAUGCUUAUUGUUGAUUCAAUAUCUUCGCUCGUCACUCCAAUUCUUGGCAGUGGUGCCCAUGGUCAUGCUUUGAUGGUUUCUCUUGGUUUCUUAUUAAAGGAGUUGGCUUAUGAGCAUAACCUCUCUGUAUUGGUGACCAAUCACAUGGUGGGCGCGGAGGGAGGUCACUUGAAACCAGCACUCGGAGAGAGUUGGAAGAAUGUUCCCGACAUGCGGCUUCAUGUUUCCCGUGAUUGUAAGAGCAACAUAUGUAGCAUGUCCAUACUUCGACACCCAUACAUUGUAAGACUGCAGGAAAAGCUGUGAUGUUUUCCUUAAAAUGAUUGACCUAGUUUCGGUUCUGCCCCAAGGUUUCAGUUGGAAAAUGCAUACCUUGGGUUCAAUGAAUGAGCAAAGUAGUGCAGAGACAAGUAGUGCGCAGAGCAUUAUAUGUAGGAGGUACAUAGCCUGAGAGGUUGUAUUCAGAAGCCAUAGUAUAUGACUUUAUAUGGUGAGGAUUUCUUGCAUAGUGAAAUGGUAGGCCCCCAGAAUAAAAUCCUCUGGCAAUCUCAGCAUCUAGCAGAUUUCUCAUCUCCAUAUUGUAAGCUUUGUUAAUGGGAUUAUUUGGAUCACUUGCUCUUUUCUUUGAUGACUGCAUUUGCUUCUUCUCAAUUCCACCCCAAGCACUGCUACAUGAUUGUGUUGCACUUGAAGGAGGCAGUGGAAAUUGCAUCGAAAUUUAGUGUUUCCCCCUCUUUCUUUGGCUACUGCAACCUUAGAGCAUCUCCAACGGUGUUGGCUAUAAUCGUUGGCUAAAUUGGACCUGUAAGACAUUAUGUAAAAUUUGCUGAACCUGUAAUACAUUUUGCUUCAAUGGUAUUGGCUAUAUUGGUUGGCUAUAAUUUAAAAAUAGUAUGUUAUUAAUAUUUUAGAUUGUUAAAAUAGAAUAUAUCAAUUUAAUAUUGUAAUAAAUGAUGUGCAAUUUUCCUACAGAUUUCUUACAGACCUGUAAAGGUUCGACAAAUUUAGCCAUCCAUAAGAGGUUGGCUAAAAUUAUAGACAACAGGUUCACGUGGUUGGAGUGCUAUUUUUUCAAGACGUUGGCUAUAUUUUUUAAUUUUGGAAUGCCAACUCAUUUUUUAGCCAAGGGUUUUGUA
Molecule: RNA transcript, 1868 nt
Organism: Daucus carota subsp. sativus
Lineage: Eukaryota; Viridiplantae; Streptophyta; Magnoliopsida; Apiales; Apiaceae
Gene name: DNA repair protein RAD51 homolog 4
Exons: 13
Source: RefSeq, a predicted model, not a curated record